AAACCGAAUAUCUUUAUUAAAAUCGAACCGAAUAUAUUUUUUUUCCUUUUAGAAAACAACCAAAAAAGAUCUAAUUAUCAAUGCACAUGUGUAUGCUAGGAAUUUUAUCCCAGCUUUAUCUUCAUGUCAACCAUUUUUAUGGUUGUUUUGAUACCUAGAGAGAACUACAGUACAAGAAAACUUGCAAUUCAAAAAGUACAAAGUUGUACUCCCUCUCUCAAAUAGUCCUCAUAUAUUAUCAUGUACUAUGGUGUAGUACAAGUUUAGUCAAGUACUCAAUCAAGCAGGAGCUGUUGUUAUAUAACUUGGUAUAAACUGAGUGAGCAUCACAAGCACAGCCAUGUUAAGAGGUAAAGGAGUCCCACAGGGGUAACCUGAGAUCACUUGUGGACACCCCUCACCAACAGCCAUUGUGGUGACUAGGUCGUCUUUUGUGCUUCAUGUGUUCUCAGGUCGCCCCUGCAGGGCUUCCCUUUACCACAAACUCUGCUAAACAAGGGCUUAGCCCUCUGUGUGAUUGCACCUCCAUUGUAUCCUGCAAAGUUUCCUCUUUCGAAAUCUAGUUCAAUGUCAAAGAGGGUCAUGCAUGUGGAAAAGUCGAAUAGUCUGCAUUAGGCAACGCAAAAAGUUGGACGAAACAAUGCUAAGGCAGCGCUAUUAAUGGUUGUAGCCUUGCUGCACAGUAACUUUGUAAUAAAUAUGCAGCAGCCAAAUUAUUUUGACCUAAAGAGAGUACCAAUACCUUAUGUAAAAAAAAAAAAAAAAAAAACAUUUCUUUUAUUGUUCUCUAGCAAAUAAAUGUUACUUUGACAACAUGUUUCUUGCA
This is a long non-coding RNA of Ziziphus jujuba (common jujube), 826 nucleotides long. RefSeq lists it as uncharacterized. Lineage: Eukaryota; Viridiplantae; Streptophyta; Magnoliopsida; Rosales; Rhamnaceae. The transcript has 2 exons. The record is from RefSeq and is a predicted model, not a curated record.